CUGAGCAGGAAGUGGCAGGGUCAGGAAAAGCUAGGCCACAAGUUUUCCCUUGAGAGCCUUAGAGUCUAGCCCUGUCGCCCAGGCUGGAGUGCCAUGGUUUGAACUCUACUCACCGCAACCUCCACCUCCCAGGUUCAAAUGAUUCUCCUGCCUCAGCCUCCUGAAUAUCUGGGAUUACAGGCCAAAGAUUAUUAAUGCAUGAUGUGUAACAAUUUCAGGCAAAGGCAAUCAUCAGAUAUUAAGAAAGGGAUCAAGAAAUCGAGGAGGCAAAAGAACAGAAGAAGUAAAUACCUAUAGCUUGCCCAGAAGGUAAGAAGAAAAAGAAUGCCAAAAAUGUGGACCAUUUUAUUAUUUAGUUAAGCAUUAUAGUACUGCAAAUCCUUUUUCCACCAUCUUUUCAAACUUUUGCCGUGACAGAAUUGUUUUUGAUACCCACAUAGAAAAGAUUAAAUGAGUAGAAAAGAAGAUCAAUAUGAAAAAUUUAAAGGAACUGUCAUUUUUCAGCCUAGGAAGAGAGAGAAUGCCGAAAGACUUCUAAUGUAUGGAGUUUAAACAUCAGAUGGUGAUUGAUUGCUAUUAAUUUAUGUCAGCAAAGGAGGAGAAGAAAUACGUAAAACUGCCUCUGAAGAAUUUACAUUAAACACCAAAAGAAUCUGACUCUGAAAAUGAAGAAACAAGGAAUAUUGUUUGUUUUGGGAAUCAAAAAAAAAAAAAACUUCCCAUUUGAGUACACAAUUUCCUAAACAAGAUACAUGAUAAUUCCAUACACUAUGCUUUCCGAAGAAACUUUGUAAAACGUAUUUUCAUUAUUCAAAACUUGAAAACACAGAAACAAUAUGAUGCAAAAAAUUAUCUUUAGCAUUAUUCCACUAAGAUAAUUCAUUUUAACAUCCAUAUAUUCAUUAUUAUGUAAAAUACCUAUCAGUAUGUGGGUAUAUCUUUGUGUGUAUAUUUUAACAAAACAAAAUUCAAUAAAAAUUGAAAUACAGAAAUGACAAAAACACACAAAAAAUAUAAAUUAUUUCCAUUGUAGCAUAUAUUACCUUUUUCACCUAACAUUAUACUGUAGGAAUAUAUUCUUUCAUCAUUCAAUGCUUUUGAAAAUAUAAUAAUAUUCCAUUUUAAGGACAUGCUAUAAUUUAGUUCAUUAGUUUUUAAACUUUUAGAUUAUCUCAUUUUGUCAUCAUUUAAAAAAAGUGUUCCUGGAUGUCCUUUUGCAUAGACUUUUGAAUGUAUUUCUGACUAUUUUCUUAACCUGUCCUGUACUUCUGCAAGUAGAACUGCUUGAGCAGAGAUUAGGAGCAAUUUUAAGGUUUUUCAAAAAUCUUGACAAACUAUUCUGCAGGAAAAAUGUAUCUUGUUACCAUCAGCAUUUUUAAGUAACUAGUGACUAAUUGUAAAAAUAAUUGUGUUUCCUUGUAUUUAAGCCUUGCGCUAUAGAUUUUAAAAAUUUGUCCUUUUUUUUUUUUCAUUUGUAAAAAAAAGCCAUCUAAAAGACCUUAGAACCUGGUAUCAGCUGAAGCUUACUAAACCAUAUCAAGAAGAUCAUGUCAUUCUCAAGAAAAGCAUGUUUCAAAUAAAAAGGAAAUGUCA
This 1593-nucleotide long non-coding RNA is filed under the name Homo sapiens (human). Its description in RNAcentral is "HSALNT0332396". Lineage: Eukaryota; Metazoa; Chordata; Mammalia; Primates; Hominidae. The record is from RNAcentral.